This is a non-coding RNA of Epinephelus lanceolatus (giant grouper), 555 nucleotides long. NCBI's taxonomy places the organism in Eukaryota, Metazoa, Chordata, Actinopteri, Perciformes, Serranidae. The record is from RefSeq and is a predicted model, not a curated record.
CGUAGAAGCCACAGACGACGCCUUCUGGGAUCAGUUCUGGGCCGACACCUCCACCACCGUCCAGGAUGUCUUCGCUCUGGUGCCGGCGGCCGAGAUCAGAGCCGUCAGAGAGGAGUCUCCGUCCAACCUGGCAACCCUCUGCUACAAGGCAGUGGAGAGGUUGGUCCAGGGUGCAGACUCCGGCUGCCCCUCAGAGAAAGAGCGUCAGAUCGUCCUGAACUGCACCCGCCUGCUCACCCGCAUCCUGCCCUACAUCUUUGAGGACGCCGACUGGAGAGGCUUCUUCUGGUCCACCGUGCCAGGAGCCGGCAGAGCAGGGCGUUUGGACGAAGAUGGCGAUGUGGAUGAAGCACGGCCGCUGGCUGAGUCGCUGCUGCUCGCCAUCGCCGACCUCCUGUUCUGUCCAGAUUUCACCGCUCAGAGCCACAAGAAGAGCAGCACGGACACAGCCGAGGACAUCCGAUCCAUAGACAGCUGUGAGUACAUCUGGGAGGCUGGUGUCGGCUUCGCUCAGUCUCCUCCUCCAAACUACGUCCACGACAUCAACAGGUGGGA